UACGAAGGGUGCAAGCGUUACUCGGAAUUACUGGGCGUAAAGCGUGCGUAGGUGGUUUGUUAAGUCUGCUGUGAAAGCCCCGGGCUCAACCUGGGAAUUGCAUUUGAGACUGCGUAGCUAGGGUGCGGAAGAGGGAAGCGGAAUUUCCGGUGUAGCGGUGAAAUGCGUAGAUAUCGGAAGGAACACCAGUGGCGAAAGCGGCUUCCUGGUCCAGCACCGACGUUCAGGCACGAAAGCGUGGGGAGCAAACAGG
This 253-nucleotide ribosomal RNA is filed under the name uncultured bacterium. RNAcentral describes it as "partial 16S ribosomal RNA". It matches the Rfam family "Bacterial small subunit ribosomal RNA", at positions 524 to 776 of the family's 1533-position model. The record is from RNAcentral.